GAGUUUGAUCGUGGCUCAGAUUGAACGCUGGCGGCGUGCCUAACACAUGCAAGUCGAGCGGUAACAGGUGUAGCAAUACAUGCUGACGAGCGGCGAACGGGUGAGUAAUGCUUCGGAAUCUGCCCUUUGGUGGGGAAUAACUAGCCGAAAGGUUAGCUAAUACCGCAUAAGACCUACGGGUGAAAGCAGGGGAUCGCAAGACCUUGCGCCGAUGGAUGAGCCGAAGUCGGAUUAGCUAGUUGGUAGGGUAACGGCCUACCAAGGCAACAAUCCGUAGCUGGUCUGAGAGGACGACCAGCCACACUGGGACUGAGACACGGCCCAGACUCCUACGGGAGGCAGCAGUGGGGAAUAUUGGACAAUGGGGGCAACCCUGAUCCAGCGACGCCGCGUGUGUGAAGAAGGCCUGCGGGUUGUAAAGCACUUUUAGUGGGGAUGAAAAGCCUAGAGCUAAUAUCUCUGGGUCUUGACCUAACCCACAGAAAAAGCACCGGCUAACUCUGUGCCAGCAGCC
RNAcentral lists this ribosomal RNA (514 nucleotides) under uncultured Gammaproteobacteria bacterium. RNAcentral's name for it is "bacterial SSU rRNA". It matches the Rfam family "Bacterial small subunit ribosomal RNA", at positions 9 to 516 of the family's 1533-position model. Lineage: Bacteria; Pseudomonadati; Pseudomonadota; Gammaproteobacteria. The record is from RNAcentral.